RNAcentral lists this ribosomal RNA (477 nucleotides) under uncultured bacterium. RNAcentral describes it as "partial 16S ribosomal RNA". It matches the Rfam family "Bacterial small subunit ribosomal RNA", at positions 28 to 507 of the family's 1533-position model. The record is from RNAcentral.
GAUUAACGCUGGCGGCGUGCAUAACACAUGCAAGUCGAACGAUGAAACUUAAAUGAUUUCUUCGGAAUGAACUUAAGUGGAUUAGUGGCGGACGGGUGAGUAACGCGUGAGUAACCUGCCUUACACAAGGGGAUAGCCGUUGGAAACGACGAAUAAUACCCUAUGAAACUAUCACUUCGCAUGAAGCGAUAGUCAAAGUGUUAGCGGUGUAAGAUGGACUUGCGUCUGAUUAGCUAGUUGGUGAGAAAAAAGCCCACCAAGGCAACGAUCAGUAGCCGGCUUGAGAGAGUGAACGGCCACAUUGGGACUGGGACAAGGCCCAGACUCCUACGAGAGGGAGCAGUGGGGAAUUAUGCACAAUGGGGGAAAGCCUGAUGCAGCGACGCCGCGUGAUUUAGAAGGCCUUCGGGUUGUAAAAAUCUUUUGUAUAGGAAGAAAAUGACGGUACUAUACGAAUAAGGUCCGGCUAAUUACGUG